Molecule: long non-coding RNA, 1038 nt
Filed under: Chrysemys picta bellii (western painted turtle)
Lineage: Eukaryota; Metazoa; Chordata; Testudines; Emydidae
Description: lncRNA (ENSCPBG00000027146.1)
Source: RNAcentral
GGCAUCUUCUUUACAACAUAAAAUAGACGAGGUGUGUUCUUUGUCAAUUUCCCUUUGGCAUCUGAGACAGAAGGACGGAGCUCUGCCAAGGAAGCCAUGGUGUGUGGGGAAGCAGGAGGUCAGACAAACGACUGGAACCAUAUUUUGAAGGACAAGGAAGCAAGGAUUACUUCUGUCUAGUUUCUGAUCCCUCAGGAGGUAAGGCUACAAUGAAGGAUUAAACAUACCACUAUAUACAGCAUGUAUACAAUGUACAGAUACUGGCCUUAUCUUUCUGUGUGUCUUUUUUAAAUUUUCCCAAAACAUCUACUGUAAGACACCCUUUGUAUGACUGCUGAGUGGCACUAAAACUGGAAAAGGGCUAUAAACUUUAGCAGAGUCUCUGGGGCUGAGGGAGGCUAAUUGUUUGUUUGUUCUGUGUCUUUAUGGUUUAUCUAUGGCUCAGCUGCCAGGAAACCUAGACCAGCAGGAAAAAACUCCUCCUUCGCCAUCCUCUCCUUUCUGCUGCACACUCUGAAAAUAAAGCGGAGCAAGGACCUGUUCGUACAGAAUGGUUUGCUGCUUCAUGUGAUGUGCCUCUCACUCUGCUUAAAUCCAAGGAAUCAGAGAAGUUAGGGCUGGAGGAAAAUCAACUCAUCACCAUUAAGUUCACCUCCCGGAUUGAGCAGCAGGAAGUCCCCACUCUUGUUGUGAGUGCGUUUUCCGCAGCAGUGACUCUACCCAGAUCCUACAUAGAAGAUAGCAGAUGAUCUUGCCUGUCCCAAAAGCAAGAAGCAGAUGUCUGUUUGGAAGUUUUGUACUGGCGACCAUCACUAUGGUCCCACAUUAGUUAGCCUGGCAAUAGUAAGGUCCCUAGUGAAUUUCAUCGAGUCUCCAGCUUGUAUUUCCUCCCCCCCCCCCCCACGAUGCUAAAGGGCGUGGCUUCUCAAGCGAAAGGCCUGCCCACCUUGAAGUGUUCUGCCUCUUCUUCUCCCUUCUGUGUCCUUCCGGGUUGCCAGUUCAGUAGGUAUUUCUUUGCUAAUGAAGACAGCAGGAGUC